UCGGCUCUCGCAUCGAUGAAGAACGUAGCGAAAUGCGAUACUUGGUGUGAAUUGCAGAAUCCCGUGAACCAUCGAGUCUUUGAACGCAAGUUGCGCCCGAAGCCAUUAGGCCGAGGGCACGUCUGCCUGGGCGUCACGCAUCGCGUCGCCCCCGCACACCG
Molecule: ribosomal RNA, 161 nt
Filed under: Nicotiana benthamiana
Lineage: Eukaryota; Viridiplantae; Streptophyta; Magnoliopsida; Solanales; Solanaceae
Description: 5.8S ribosomal RNA
Rfam family: 5.8S ribosomal RNA (bases 1-136)
About the family: 5.8S ribosomal RNA (5.8S rRNA) is a component of the large subunit of the eukaryotic ribosome. It is transcribed by RNA polymerase I as part of the 45S precursor that also contains 18S and 28S rRNA.
Source: RNAcentral